Molecule: ribosomal RNA, 254 nt
Filed under: uncultured bacterium
Lineage: Bacteria
Description: partial 16S ribosomal RNA
Rfam family: Bacterial small subunit ribosomal RNA
Source: RNAcentral
UACGUAGGGUGCAAGCGUUGUCCGGAAUUAUUGGGCGUAAAGAGCUCGUAGGCGGUUUGUCGCGUCGGCUGUGAAAACCUGAGGCUCAACCUCAGGCCUGCAGUCGAUACGGGCAGACUAGAGUCCGGCAGGGGAGACUGGAAUUCCCAGUGUAGCGGUGAAAUGCGUAGAUAUUGGGAGGAACACCAGUGGCGAAGGCGGCUCACUGGACCGGUACUGACGCUGAGGCGCGAAAGCGUGGGGAGCAAACGGGG